RNAcentral lists this ribosomal RNA (468 nucleotides) under uncultured bacterium. RNAcentral's name for it is "partial 16S ribosomal RNA". It matches the Rfam family "Bacterial small subunit ribosomal RNA", at positions 28 to 507 of the family's 1533-position model. The record is from RNAcentral.
GACGAAUGCUGGCGGCGUGCUUAAUACAUGCAAGUCGAACGGACAGGCCCUGCUCUUGCGGGGUGCUCGUUUGCCGAACGCGUGAGUAACACGCGAGUAUCCUGCCCCUGUCUUUGGGAUAACUCUUGGAAACUCGGGCUCAUAUCGGAUAGGAUCUCCUGCACCAUGGGGUUGGUUGGAAAGUUUCGGCGGUUGGGGAUGGACUCGCGGCUUAUGAGCUUGUUGGGGGGGUAGUUGCUUACCAAGGCUUCGACGGGUAGCCGGCCUGGGAGGGUGGCCGGCGACAUUGGGACUGAGAUACGGCGCAGACUGGUACGGGAGGCAGCAGUGGGGAAUAUUGCACAGUGGGCGGAAGCGAGAGACAGAAACGCCGCGUGCGGGAUGCCGGCCUUCGGGUUGUAAACCGCUUUCGACUGUGACGAAGCGUGAGUGACGGUAAUGGGUAAAGAAGCACCGGCUAACUACGUG